This is a long non-coding RNA of Lytechinus variegatus (green sea urchin), 353 nucleotides long. RefSeq lists it as uncharacterized. Lineage: Eukaryota; Metazoa; Echinodermata; Echinoidea; Temnopleuroida; Toxopneustidae. The record is from RefSeq and is a predicted model, not a curated record. The transcript is spliced from 3 exons.
UGCAUGGACAGUGGGAGCAAACAGGACCUACUGUAAUAGUUUUAAUCAUUGAUUGUAUUUAGAGUGGUGUCGUCCAGAUGAAAUGGAAUCCCAAUUGUCUGCUUUAGUUGUAGCUAGACUAAGUACUUUUACUUCAUCAGGAAAUGAAGCACAUCUAGUACUUUGAACUUGGUAACUCUCGCUUGAAUGUUCCCUAAGGAGUGAAAAUGAUUACCAAGGAUAAGUACUGGUCUACGAUAUAGUCUUCUCCUUCUCACUUUACAUCUUACUCUGAUCAAUCAUGCUAGCAGACUGGACAAGAAAUAUGUGCCCACCAUUAAGUUCUUAAAAUGUCUGUUACAGUAUGCAGAGAA